Acanthopagrus latus (yellowfin seabream) is the source of this 1596-nucleotide long non-coding RNA. RefSeq lists it as uncharacterized. The transcript is spliced from 2 exons. The record is from RefSeq and is a predicted model, not a curated record. Lineage: Eukaryota; Metazoa; Chordata; Actinopteri; Spariformes; Sparidae.
AAGACUGCAGAUUGCACAGUACAAGCAUUUCGAGGAGUAACAGGAGGAAAACUCUUGCACUAGAAUGAAGUUUGAAGUUGAGCCUCUUCAUCCAUCACCGUACAGUACUUGGACAGUGGGCCAUCGAGCUCUCAUGGGCUACAAUCUGGGCUCUCAUGGUCAGAGCCUACAAGAGGAGACCCACAACGUUUCAGGAUGAACUCAAACAUCCACAGUAAGCUGCUGAAGUCGCCUUCAUGCACCAAACAAAAUGUGACAUUUCACACAACGACAUAUUUAUCAGAUCAAAUGAGAACACAUCAUCACUAAUCCAGGGCAACAUGGACUACUACUCAUAUUGGAAUCCUCCUUUUGCAGCUAUAAAAGGCCAUGUUAGCCUACUAAACUCUAAACAUAAUUAUAAGGAGAAAAAAAAAACUACUUGGCAUGCUUCUGUGCUCAGGUUCAAAAACACCUAAAGAAGAUAUACACCGCCCUCCAGUGGUUGAUGGGAGAACUUUGGGAUUAGCGCGUGGAGCGUGUAGGGACUUUUACUGCAAAACACUGGUGGCUUUACAUAUUACAAACCUUUUAACAGUUUUUACUCUCUUUCACUGAUCUCAUUCUGAUUCUAUCAGCUUGGAGACUAAAUUUGUAGUUAAAAGCAGCUGUUAUCUACACGCACAGUCUAAGAUUCAUCUUGCUGGGACUUGCUCAAGGUCGGUAAUCCUACUCCGAACAUUUCGUCACCUCUGUUUUCACUUAACAAUAUAUUUACUGGUUUAGUAGCUGCAAGCAGGAGCAAGCGCCAAAAAUUCAAAUCAUUUUCACAGCAUUUUAUUUUGAAUACCCAGCAACACUAAUGCAAUGUGUUUCAGCAAGCUGAAUGCCUAAUUGGGAGUUUUCUUGUCAACGCGGGCAGGGAAGAGUUUUGAAAUUGUUCUCUGCCGACACACGCAACACCACUCAAACCUGGAGGCAUGUCCAGUGGAAUCAUCAACUGUCAUGCAAGUUGAAACAAAAUGAAAUCAAAAUUAUCAUCAGAGUGUGACAGAAUAACAGUUUCGAUGUCAUGACGUCCACGCUUUGUGGGCCCAAAGCUCCUGUGCUAUCGUAUAAACGCCAACAUUUCCUCUGUGCUCCGAAUCUGGACUGCCAACCACAUAACUAACAGAGCAAACUAGUUAACAGUAGCUACAGUUGGCAGCAGUUAGUGGAUGCUCUGAUGACAUGCUGCCACCUAUUUGUUUAGACUGGGAACUCAACAGGUGACCAAUUCUUACACAUUGGCGCAAAGUACAGUUCCAUAGAGAAAAAAAAAAUGAUGGAAUUAUUUUCAGAAACAAUUGGCAACAGUUCUCAAAGACAGUUGAUCCCUACAGCAUUAAUCACAACACAUCGGGUAAAAACACUGUGAACCUUUAUUGACAGCAGCAUGUAUACUUUUGUAUAUAUCUGUGAUUACUGUGAACAUUUGCUGAAGCUGAUUAAAAAAGACGACUAGGUGUGAGUGCCUAGCAUUCAUAAAAACCAAAACAUUACACUAAAAACAAUGUAUAAAAAACAAGUUCAUAAACAAAAGGCCAUUGCAUUUGAUUAGAUAAUGUAAAAAAAAAA